RNAcentral lists this ribosomal RNA (301 nucleotides) under uncultured bacterium. RNAcentral's name for it is "partial 16S ribosomal RNA". It matches the Rfam family "Bacterial small subunit ribosomal RNA", at positions 509 to 809 of the family's 1533-position model. The record is from RNAcentral.
CAGUCGCCACGGGAAUACGAAGGGUGCAAGCGUUACUCGGAAUUACUGGGCGUAAAGCGUGCGUAGGUGGUUGUUUAAGUCUGCUGUGAAAGCCCUGGGCUCAACCUGGGAAUUGCAGUGGAUACUGGGCAACUAGAGUAAGGUAGAGGAUAGUGGAAUUUCCGGUGUAGCAGUGAAAUGCGUAGAGAUCGGAAGGAACAUCUGUGGCGAAGGCGACUAUCUGGGCCAUUACUGACACUGAGGCACGAAAGCGUGGGGAGCAAACAGGAUUAGAUACCCCCGUAGUCCCUGUCUCUUAUCC